CGGGUGGCAGCAGUAGGGAAUAUUGGGCAAUGGCCGAGAGGCUGACCCAGCCAUGCCGCGUGCAGGACGAAGGCUUUCUGAGUCGUAAACUGCUUUUGCCAGGGAAGAAAAAAGCGGAUGCGUCCGCUACUGACGGUACCUGGUGAAUAAGCACCGGCUAACUCCGUGCCAGCAGCCGCGGUAAUACGGAGGGUGCAAGCGUUGUCCGGAUUUAUUGGGUUUAAAGGGUGCGUAGGCGGUUCUUUAAGUCUGGGGUGAAAGCCCGUUGCUCAACAACGGAACUGCCCUGGAAACUGGCGAACUUGAGUACAGACGAGGGUGGCGGAAUGGAUGCUGUAGCGGUGAAAUGCAUAGAUAGCAUCCAGAACCCCGAUUGCGAAGGCAGCUGCCUAGACUGUAACUGACGCUGAGGCACGAAAGCGUGGGGAGCGAACAGGAUUAGAUACCCGAGU
RNAcentral lists this ribosomal RNA (452 nucleotides) under uncultured Hymenobacter sp. Its description in RNAcentral is "bacterial SSU rRNA". It matches the Rfam family "Bacterial small subunit ribosomal RNA", at positions 342 to 791 of the family's 1533-position model. Lineage: Bacteria; Pseudomonadati; Bacteroidota; Cytophagia; Cytophagales; Hymenobacteraceae. The record is from RNAcentral.